This 325-nucleotide long non-coding RNA is filed under the name Pongo abelii (Sumatran orangutan). RNAcentral's name for it is "lincRNA". Lineage: Eukaryota; Metazoa; Chordata; Mammalia; Primates; Hominidae. The record is from RNAcentral.
CACUCAGGAUGGAGUUCAGUGGUCCAAUCAUGGCUCAUUGUAGCCUCAAACUCCCAGGCUCAAGCAGUCCUACCAUGUCAGCCUUCCCAGUAGCUGGGACUACAGGCUGGAGUACAGUGGCACAACCUCUGCUCACUGCAGCCUCCACCUGCCAGGCUCAAGCAAUUCUCCUGCCUCAGCCUCCCGAGUAGCUGGGAUUACAGAUGGACAGUCUAGUUGCAGGAAAACAAGCUCAGAGAUCCCACUGAGUCUACGUUAUACUGGAUCUACCAUGAACGACUUCUGAAUCCAGGAAGAGAGACUGACUGGGCAACAUGUUAUUCAG